GUUCUCUUUGGUAGCACCUAUACUAAAAUUGGAACAAUACUGAAAAUAUUCACAUGGUCCCUGGGCAAUGAUGACAUGCAAAUUCAUGAAAAAAAUUAUAUAUAU
This is a small nuclear RNA of Tupaia belangeri (northern tree shrew), 105 nucleotides long. The record is from Ensembl. NCBI's taxonomy places the organism in Eukaryota, Metazoa, Chordata, Mammalia, Scandentia, Tupaiidae.